This 515-nucleotide ribosomal RNA is filed under the name uncultured archaeon. RNAcentral describes it as "bacterial SSU rRNA". It matches the Rfam family "Archaeal small subunit ribosomal RNA", at positions 345 to 859 of the family's 1478-position model. The record is from RNAcentral.
AACCUUUACACUGCACGACAGUGCGAUAGGGGGACUCCGAGUGUGAGGGCAUAUAGCCCUCGCUUUUCUGAACCGUAAGGUGGUUCAGGAACAAGGACUGGGCAAGACCGGUGCCAGCCGCCGCGGUAAUACCGGCAGUCCGAGUGAUGGCCGAUAUUAUUGGGCCUAAAGCGUCCGUAGCUUGCUGUGUAAGUCCAUUGGGAAAUCGACCAGCCCAACUGGUAGGCGUCCGGUGGAAACUACACAGCUUGGGGCCGAGAGACUCAACGGGUACGUCCGGGGUAGGAGUGAAAUCCUGUAAUCCUGGACGGACCACCAAUGGGGAAACCACGUUGAGAGACCGGACCCGACAGUGAGGGACGAAAGCCAGGGUCUCGAACCGGAUUAGAUACCCGGGUAGUCCUGGCUGUAAACAAUGCUCGCUAGGUAUGUCACGCGCCAUGAGCACGUGAUGUGCCGUAGUGAAGACGAUAAGCGAGCCGCCUGGGAAGUACGUCCGCAAGGAUGAAACUUAA